GUCUUUCAUCGCUGUGCCGGUUUUGAUGAUGCUUGAUCAACUGGAUCUUUGUCUUGAGGUUGAAACCGCAAAUCUCGCAGUGAGGGCAUGCCAAAGUACCCUCGAGACGAUUAUGGACGACCAUCAUAUGAUGACGGAGACGCACUUCGGAUGUAAAAAUAGCCUCGCAGUCGGUGCACUUUAACGGGUCCUUCUCCAUGCAGACCAGAUUCGUCGUGGAUAAUGCCUACAAGAGAAAUUACUUUUUCUAUUAUUUCAAAAAUUCCAUCUAUAAAAAAGAAUGUAUUAAAAUUUU
Wasmannia auropunctata (little fire ant) is the source of this 295-nucleotide long non-coding RNA. RefSeq lists it as uncharacterized. The record is from RefSeq and is a predicted model, not a curated record. NCBI's taxonomy places the organism in Eukaryota, Metazoa, Arthropoda, Insecta, Hymenoptera, Formicidae. The transcript has 3 exons.